This 1083-nucleotide long non-coding RNA is filed under the name Sorghum bicolor (sorghum). RNAcentral's name for it is "long non-coding RNA (SBIC_LNC004926)". Lineage: Eukaryota; Viridiplantae; Streptophyta; Magnoliopsida; Poales; Poaceae. The record is from RNAcentral.
GGCUCCUCGACGGGAUACUCGGCAGUGACUCAGAGACGAUGAGGAAGCCACGAUCGGCGGUCACCACGGCGGCAAGCCGAGCUUGGGCUUCGGAACGGCGCUGCAAGGUCGAGAAGAGUCGGCGGCUUGCCUAGGGUUAUAAUAGACGAUGCGCACACGUGGCUUGGGUUUUACGCAAUAUCCUGUAUGAUUUGGAAUUUGCAUCGACUUCCGUCGGCUUGGAGUCUGAGCAGAGCACGGCGGGAGAUAGAGGAAGGUGGCUGACAUGUGGGGUCCAGCGGCAGUGACUGAUGGAGCAGGGCCCAAGAGUCAGCAAGACAAAGAGAGAGGCAUGAACCUUCCACAGGUCCGCUUGGCCUCGUUCCCAGGAAAGAGGUUUCUUCUUUUCUUUUUAUUCUUUCUUUUUCUAUUUUAUUUUCUAAAGCUUUCUUUUGAAGAGGAUUUUGAAUGCAAUUAAAUUCUAGCCAAAGCAAAAUAGCACGAAAUAAAAUAUGCUCCAGCAUGAAUGCACAAUCAAGUUUACUAAACUUAUGAUGAAUUUUAAUUCCAACAAAAAUUUAUUUAUUUACUAUAUUUAAAUGCUCACAAAAAUACAUAAUUAAGUCCAAUUAAAUCCUAUUAAUUACAAAUCAAAUUUUGGGUGUUACAAACUCUACCCCCCUUAAAAGAAUCUCAUCCUCGAGAUUGAACAGUGCUUACUCGAACAGAUAUGAGUAGGAUUUCCUCAGAUCAUCCUCCCUUUCCCAAGUUGCCUCUGCUUCCGAAUGCCGGUUCCACUAUACUUUGCACAUUCUGAUGACCCGACUUCUGGUGACUCUCUCAGCUGUCUCCAAUAUUUUGACCGGAUACUCUUCAUAAGUGAGGUCACCUUUAACAGAAAGUUCUUCCAAUGGUAGUUGCUCCUCAGGUACACGCAAACACUUCUUAAGUUGAGACACAUGGAACACAUCAUGCACACCAGAUAAACUUUCAGGCAACUCUAACUGAUACGCUACUUCUCCACACCUUUGCAAAACUUUAAACGGGCCAACAUACCUUGGAGCUAGCUUUCCUUUCAUAUUAAACCUUUUCACACUCCGCAUA